UAUCCGGACUACAACAAAAGUA
This 22-nucleotide microRNA is filed under the name Ananas comosus (pineapple). RNAcentral describes it as "microRNA 850a". Lineage: Eukaryota; Viridiplantae; Streptophyta; Magnoliopsida; Poales; Bromeliaceae. The record is from RNAcentral.